This is a non-coding RNA of Megalopta genalis, 2784 nucleotides long. NCBI's taxonomy places the organism in Eukaryota, Metazoa, Arthropoda, Insecta, Hymenoptera, Halictidae. The record is from RefSeq and is a predicted model, not a curated record.
GUGCUCGGCUAGUAGUUUCAGCGUUCCGGCACGGAUGGCGCCACCAAUGCUCGGCUAGUAAUUUCAGCAUUCCACCACGGAUGGCGCCACCAAUGCUCGGCUAGUAGUUUCAGCAUUCCGCCACGGAUGGCGCCACCAGUGCUCGGCGAGUAGUUUCAGCGCUCCGCCACGGAUGGCGCCGCCUAUGUUUCAGUGUUCAGCCAAUAGAAAAAUAGUUUAUUUUCUAUUGGUCGACCGCGGUGAGAAAGGACAACGACCAAUAUCAAUCACUGUCUAGGAUCAUUGGAGGGAGAGCGGAUUACAACAGAUGUCGAAAUGUAAAUACGAUGCCACUUCCUUCGUUGAAAGGGCAAUCAAUUGGACGCAGCUUUCUCUCUUUAAGAGAGGUAGAAAGAAUCUUACCAUUUCUCUAUGAAAUUUGGCAAUUGAUGUGGGACUAGCCAGACAUUCAACUACGCACGAUGUUAAAGUGCGACGCGUGCAACUUUCCAAGGUUUUAUCGUCAACCAACGUUCGAACCUACCGCAGUCUGGUUUGCUGCCACGUGUUCUGGUACCGGCGAACUCGACGCCGUGGGGGUCGACACACCAGCAGAGACCAAGACCACGAUGACACUGGGUACUUCGGUAGUACCCUCGAGAAUCGCAGGCGGGUGCAACGUCCGGUGACGAUCGCUUGCGCACGGCGGCGCAGGGACGUUCAGCUUUUGAGAAGCAGCCGCACCAUUCGGGUCCGUUCACGAAGAUGUCUCUGAAAGUAUCAUUCUUAUUGACUAUCCAACAUCCGUACUCCGUCAUCUAUCUAACCGGUAAAACAAUUAAUAGGUUGAAAGGGGUACAAGUCUCGAUAUCGAAGGAUCAAUUCGAGCAAUCUGCGUUGCAUUCGGACACACGUCAAAGGACAACGACGGGACAAUGCCAUUGGGCGUCGCCAUUGGCCUAUCUCGGCGGAGCAAACCACCACACGGCAACGAAGACCUCGUAAAGCGAGAAAUAAACGGCAUAGUAAAGUAGCAAAGUGACUCGCGUAUGCGUUCGGGAGAGGGGACGAAGGGGGUAGAUGAGACAAGCUUACGCGAUCGCGGAGUCUCUCCAGGCAACUUCUCGACUCGCAUCUUUUCGUUAUUCCGCGUUCAGCUGUUUCAUUCGCGACAACGAAUGCAUCCGUUCGACUUGCUUUUCACACGUAUCCGUGCAAUCAUCCUCUCCCUAACAAUCAGUCGGCUACUUGGUCGGGAGGCACGUACGCUCGAGACCUAUUACACUCGAGCGUCCGGCGCGGCACGACACGACACGACACGACACGACGACGACGUCCACAACCCUCUCACCGUUGCGGGAUGGCGACGGUAUUAAAAACUGAAAGGGUUUCUCGUUCCCUUUCCGGGUCACGUGUCCCGCGAGUUUAAUGAUUUACAAGCAGUGGGACGGGGUUACAUAAAGGGGGAAGAAUCCGCGAUGCGACAAGCGGAUUACAACGCGAGCAGGACGUGUCUCUCGCUACGUGAACGGAAUCGAAGGGGUUGUCACGCCCUCUUAGCGUUUCCAAUGCCGCUUAUCGACGUCGCGACCGUCCGAGAAUCGAGCCGGGUGCCACGGCCGAAGCUCUCGACGGAUUUUAAACGGUAGCGCCCGCUAGAGACCGACGGGUCUUCGACCUUCUUAUCCGGCGGAUUCCGGAAGACCUCGAAUUCGAACGAGCUUACACAUUGUCUGCGCGAGCCGAGACAGAGGAUAGGCGAAUUUUAAUACUCGUUCGCCGGCAGGAACGCGAAAAAACGGGUUACAAGGACUGGGACGCGUCUCUCUACGUGCUCGGAAUCUCGCCGAGCUACGAAAGGGGUUGGUCCGUUCCCUCUUCGCCUUUCUCUCUCUCUCUCUCUCUCUCUCUCUCUCUCUCUCUCUCUCUCUCUGUUCCCUCUCGGAGAGACACGCGGCGCGGGCACUCACCCGUCUGUGUCGCAGCCGUCCAAGAACGGCUUCAGACACGGCUCGUUCUGAUCGUGUUCCAGCCCGUACAACUCGGAAAGGGAGAGCCGGCCGUCGUUGUCGCUGUCCAAAUGUCCGAACAUCCACCUGACCUCGCUCUGGCAGCCGAUGGGGAGGUGACCUGGAAAACGUCGUCCGCGAAAUAUGAAUUACAAUGGCCACAUCUACGCGACGAACUGCGCCGAAUCGAAUCGAAUUGUAGCGAAUCGAAUCGCGAUUUCGCUCGCUGAACGUCGGACGGCUUUCCAGUUCCUUUGAAACCGGCGGAGGCGACCGUCUUCCAAGGGAUUUACAGGCUUCGACCGGAAUUAUCGAAAUUGGAGACGGAGGCAGACGGAGGUUCGAGUGAAAUGUAAACGAGGGACGCGCGUAACUGUUGUUCGAAUUCGACCGAUCGACCGGCCCCGCAACUACCGUAACUCGGGGCUGAAGGGUCGCAAGAUCACAGGGACAGAGACGUCGAAGGGAGAGGAUCGGGGAGGAAGGUACAGGCCCGGAGAACAAUAUCGCGGGAGACACGGCAAAGUAAUCGCGCGCCGGAUCCCGACGGGAAGCGAUUCAUCGCAACGGGACAAUUCCGAACUGGUACGAAAGCGAUUGUACCGAAGUCGAAUGCCGUGCGGCGACGUGUGGCAGUUCGAAACUGUAACGUCCAGGAACCCGUUCCGUCUCGCGCGGAGCAAUUAGUCUCUUGUACAUAUUCGGCCGCGAUCCUCGGUUCACGGCGGCACGGCGUCUCCGCUAUAAUCGCCGCGAACACCGCGCCGGCUUUCCAAUUUGUAUCGCAAGGGUUGUC